RNAcentral lists this ribosomal RNA (484 nucleotides) under uncultured bacterium. RNAcentral describes it as "partial 16S ribosomal RNA". It matches the Rfam family "Bacterial small subunit ribosomal RNA", at positions 28 to 507 of the family's 1533-position model. The record is from RNAcentral.
AUUGAACGCUGGCGGCAUGCUUUACACAUGCAAGUCGAACGGCAGCGCGGGCUCCGGCCUGGCGGCGAGUGGCGAACGGGUGAGUAAUGCAUCGGAACGCGCCCAGUAGUGGGGGAUAGCCCGGCGAAAGCCGGAUUAAUACCGCAUACGACCUGAGGGUGAAAGCGGGGGACCGAAAGGCCUCGCGCUAUUGGAGCGGCCGAUGUCGGAUUAGCUAGUUGGUGGGGUAAAGGCUUACCAAGGCGACGAUCCGUAGCUGGUCUGAGAGGACGACCAGCCACACUGGGACUGAGACACGGCCCAGACUCCUACGGGAGGCAGCAGUGGGGAAUUUUGGACAAUGGGGGCAACCCUGAUCCAGCCAUGCCGCGUGCGGGAAGAAGGCCUUCGGGUUGUAAACCGCUUUUGUUCGGGAAGAAAUCCUCUGGGCUAAUACCCCGGGGGGAUGACGGUACCGGAAGAAUAAGCACCGGCUAACUACGUG